UACGGAGGGUGCAAGCGUUAUCCGGAUUCACUGGGUUUAAAGGGUGCGUAGGUGGGCAGUUAAGUCAGCGGUGAAAUCUCUGGGCUUAACCCAGAAACUGCCAUUGAUACUAUCUGUCUUGAAUACUUUGGAGGUAAGCGGAAUAUGUCAUGUAGCGGUGAAAUGCUUAGAUAUGACAUAGAACACCAAUUGCGAAGGCAGCUUACUACACAGUUAUUGACACUGAGGCACGAAAGCGUGGGGAUCAAACAGG
This 253-nucleotide ribosomal RNA is filed under the name uncultured bacterium. Its description in RNAcentral is "partial 16S ribosomal RNA". It matches the Rfam family "Bacterial small subunit ribosomal RNA", at positions 524 to 776 of the family's 1533-position model. The record is from RNAcentral.